AACGCGAGGCCUUGACAGGCUAGAAGACGAUGGCGGUAGGGGAGAUCACGCGAGAGCAUGGCCUCCACCUCUCCUCCCCACCCCCAUCUCCACGUUCUCGCACCGGCGCUGGGGUGCAGGCUUUCAGUGGUCUCAGGGCUACGGCUUGUCGGUGCCUCGCCGCACAGUCCCCUUUGCAUUGAAGGACAGGGUCUUACGGUGUAGGAGCAUUUUUGAGGUGCAUUCCUGGAUUUGGAGGCGAACCCCCAAUUGUUACCUCCACAGAGGCUUUGCGAAGGGCGCUCACUGGUGAAGAGCGAAGGCUCAAGACUGUGCCGCUUUAUAGUGGCCCCUUGACGUCCAGAAGUUCCCCCCAGCGCCGGUCAUAAGCACUCCCGCCGCCUGGGCCCCGCCCUGCCUGCCAGGCGCCCUCCAGCCUCAGCUCCCGGACGCCCGGCGUGGCCGCUUUCUCGCGUCUUGCUGACCCGGGCCGGGGGCGUGUGCUCCUCCUGCAGCGGACGGAAGAUGCUGGGCCACGCAAGUUUCCCUGGGCUUGGUUAACCACCCCAAAGCCCAUUUCCAGAAGGAAAGGGUGUUGAGGAGGAGGGAUAGAAAGUCGAGAAGAGGGCCGGGUGGAGUGGCUCACGCCUGUCAUCCCAGCACUUUGGGAGGCCGAGACAGGCGGAUCACCUGAGGUCAGGACUUAGAGACCAGCCUGGCCUACAUGGUGAAACCCCGUCUCUACUAAAAAUACAAAAAUUAGCCGGGUGUGGUGCCGUGCGCCUGUAGUCCCAGCAACUCGGGAGGCUGAGGUAGGAGAAUCGCUUGAACCCGGGAGUCGGAGGUUGCAGUGCUGAGAUGGCACCUGGCCUGGGCGACAAGAGCGAAACUCCAUCUCAAAAAAAAAAAAGAAGAGGAAAUGAGACAUAGGGGCAGGCGAGCCGGGAAAAUAUUGCUACUAAGGAUCCUAAGCAGUGAACAUGCUGUUAAUACUUAGAUGAGAUCUUGCUCUGUCACCCAGACUGGAGUGCAGUGGCACGAUCAUAGCUCACUGCACCUUCAAACUCCUGGACUCAAGUCAUCCUCUACCUCUGCCUCCCUGAGUAACUGGAACUACAGGUCAACACAGAUUCUCGGAAUUAAACACUUCCAUGUCCCAGAGGAUCAAAGUCACUUGCAAAAAUACCUCAAAAUGUGUUUGUCAAGAAAUUACACUUUCUCUUGAUUUUGUGGACCACUUUCUAAUUUCCAACCCAGACAAAAGCCUCCUAGUGAAGCUGGUCUUUCCUAGCACAUCCCCCUACCCCCCAGCCACUGUCCCAUCCCUGGAUGGCCUGUCCACAGAGAGCACUGUCUGUGUGGCCACUGGGGGAGGCAGCUGCAUCCCAGAGAUGAUGGUGUCCAGGGCAUGACAAGGAAGCUCUUUGUGUGGCCUGGAGACGUCCCGGGAGCUGGCUGGCGCCCACCUUCUCUCACUUCCUUACCACCUUCUUUCUUGUGUUGCUGCUUUCUCCUUCCCAGCUCUAAACUCCCCAUGGUGCUGGAGCAGCCAGAGAAGAAGUGUUACUAGACCUGCCACUGCUACCUACAAUGAGCCCCAUUCUGCACACAGAGGCUGCGGACUCCUUUUUCCCAAUCAUAGACCAGAAUGCUUGUGAAAGAAGAUGUGGCUGUUCUGCAGGUUGGAGCUCUAGGAUCGGAAGAACUCAUCUGUAUCACAUAUGAUCCAGCUGAAAGUCCCUACAAACUGGGCCCUCUGUGUCUUUAGAGGCAGCUUCCAAGGGCAGGAAGACUUCCAGAGUGCAGGACUGAGCGUGCUGCUAAUCUUGUUCUGGUCGAGAGACUGAUGAGAGAGACAAGAAUUAUGGAGUGAGAAAAGCAGCAGCAGCAGCAGCAAGUCUGCAGAGGGGAAUGCCAAACUCACUACUGUGUGUUUUUUUUUUUUGUUUGUUUGUUUGUUUGUUUUUUGAUACAGAGUUUCACUCUGUCACCCAGGCUGGAGUAGAGUGGUGCCAUCUCAGCUCAUUGCAACCUCUGCCCCCUGGGUUCAAGCAAUUCUCCUGCCUCAGCCUUCCAAGUAGCUGGGAUUAUAGGCAUGUGCCACCAUGCCUGGCUAAUUUUUGUAUUUUUAGUAGAGACAGGGUUUUGCCAUGUUGGCCAGGCUGGUCUCAAACUACUGACCUCAAGUGAUCUGCCUGCCUGGCCCCCCAAAGUACUGGGAUUACAGGUGUGAGCCACCAUGCCUGGCCUGCUGUGAUUUUUCAUUGAACCUAAUUAACUAAUUUUUAGCCCCUAUUUUUGGUACAAUAAUAGAACUUAGGUUGUAAUCAACUGGUGGGUUCUUUCCGCACACUGCACAGAUAAGAUCAGUCCACAGAGACCACAGCAUUGCAGUAAAGAAAGAGUUUGAUGUGAGGCCAGCCAUGUGGGAAAACUGGAGUUAUCACUCAAAUCAGUCUCCCCAAAGGCUUGGAGGUCAGGAUUUUUGUGGACAAUUUGGUGGGCAGGGAGCUAGGGAAUGGGUGUUGCUGAUGGGUAGGGGGUGAAAUCAUAGGGGUGUGGAAAACAGUCCUGAUGUGCUGAGUUUUCCUCUGGGUGGGGCCACAGGACCAGCUGAAUCAUGAAUCCAGGUGGGGCCAGUGUGAAGAACGUAUCAAAAAAUCAAUCUUAGGUUCUACAAUAGUGAUGUUAUCUAUAGGAGCAAUUGGAGAAGUCACAAAGCUUGUGACCCCUGGCCACAUGACUCCUGGGCAGUAAGAGAUUACUAUGUCUACAUUUUAGCAGAGUUCAUGCCUUUCCCACAACUCUAAUCUUGUAGCCCUUCAUUAAUCUUACAAAGGCGGUUUUUAGUCCCUGAGCAAGGAGGGGUUUGUUUUGGGGAGGGACUAUUAUCAUCCUUUAUUUCAGGUUAAACUAUAAACUAGAUUCCUGCCAAAGUUAGCUUGGUCUACGUCCAGGAAUGACAAGGACAGCUGGGAGGGUAGAAGCAAGAUGGAGUCAACUAUGUCCAAUUUAUCUUACUGUCAUAAUUUUUCAAAGGCAGUUUCAAGGUUACUAUUCUCAUGAUUCAACACAUCCUCAAGGAGUGAGAUUCAGUCUGUGUAAGUGUAUCAUGACUUUCUAUAACACGCCUUGUCAUGCACUCUUCUGCCCUGCUAGAAUUGGAGUCUGGCCUCAGCUGGUUCCUACCAGCAGUACUGCCAUCACCUCAUCCUCAUCUGCCCCAUCUGUUGUUUUGGAACCACUUGUGUCCUCUGAAAUGCAUAUGUUGAAGUCCUAACCACCUGUGCCUCAGAAUGGGACUAUGUUUGGAGAUAGGGUUUUAAAGAGGUACUUAAAGUUAAAUGAGAUCAUUACUGUGAACCCUGAUCCAAAAUGACUUAUGCCCUUAUAAGAAAAGGAAAUUUGGCCACUUACACUCACAGAGGAAGAAAUCAUUUGAAGACACAGGGAGAAGAGGGCCGAGGAGAGAGGUCUCAGAGAAACCAACCCAAUGACACUUCGUCUUGGAUUUCCAGCCCCCAGAAUUACUGGAAAAUACAUUUUUCUUGUUUAGGCCACCCAAUCUGUACUACUUUGUUAUGGCAACCCUAGCAAACUAAUGCAGUCACCAACCCAGGGUGAAAAUGGGACAUUCCCAACUCUAGCUGUUAGGCCAAGCUUAUUUGUAAUAGAUUCUUGUUUUCAAAGGAUAUAGAUAUUGAGAUUCUCAAUGUAUUUGUUAAAAUACAUUGUUUCUUGUUAAAAGCAUAAGACUUUGAAAUGUCUUUGUGUUGCAGAUAUGUAGAUGUUCUGAGCCAUAAUUUUUGGAAAAUUCUUUCAAAGAAAAGGAAAUCUACUGGACAAAUAGCAUGAUUAAUGGGGAUCUAGUGACAAAAUAUUCUGCCCUAAUUGGAUUUGUGAUGUUUUUGCAAUUUGAAAUUAGCUUCAAAAUCCAACAAUAAUAUGAAAGAAUGUUCAGUAUCACGAAUCAAAUUAAAACCAUAAUUAAAUCACCUCCUUUCAUUAGGGUAGCCACUAUAAAAAAAAAAGUAAAACAAAACAGAAAAUAGCAACUGUCGGCAAAGA
Molecule: long non-coding RNA, 4047 nt
Organism: Pan troglodytes (chimpanzee)
Lineage: Eukaryota; Metazoa; Chordata; Mammalia; Primates; Hominidae
Exons: 3
Source: RefSeq, a predicted model, not a curated record